This 497-nucleotide ribosomal RNA is filed under the name uncultured bacterium. RNAcentral's name for it is "partial 16S ribosomal RNA". It matches the Rfam family "Bacterial small subunit ribosomal RNA", at positions 28 to 507 of the family's 1533-position model. The record is from RNAcentral.
GAUGAACGCUGGCGGCGUGCCUAAUACAUGCAAGUCGAGCGAACGGACGAGAAGCUUGCUUCUCUGAUGUUAGCGGCGGACGGGUGAGUAACACGUGGAUAACCUACCUAUAAGACUGGGAUAACUUCGGGAAACCGGAGCUAAUACCGGAUAAUAUUUUGAACCGCAUGGUUCAAAAGUGAAAGACGGUCUUGCUGUCACUUAUAGAUGGAUCCGCGCUGCAUUAGCUAGUUGGUAAGGUAACGGCUUACCAAGGCAACGAUGCAUAGCCGACCUGAGAGGGUGAACGGCCACACUGGAACUGAGACACGGUCCAGACUCCUACGGGAGGCAGCAGUAGGGAAUCUUCCGCAAUGGGCGAAAGCCUGACGGAGCAACGCCGCGUGAGUGAUGAAGGUCUUCGGAUCGGAAAACUCUGUUAUUAGGGAAGAACAUAUGUGUAAGUAACUGUGCACAUCUUGACGGUACCUAAUCAGAAAGCCACGGCUAACUACGUG